This 377-nucleotide ribosomal RNA is filed under the name uncultured delta proteobacterium. Its description in RNAcentral is "bacterial SSU rRNA". It matches the Rfam family "Bacterial small subunit ribosomal RNA", at positions 521 to 896 of the family's 1533-position model. Lineage: Bacteria; Deltaproteobacteria. The record is from RNAcentral.
UAAUACUGAGGGUGCAAGCGUUAAUCGGAAUUACUGGGCGUAAAGCGAGUGUAGGCGGCUUCGUAAGUCGGAUGUGAAAGCCCCGGGCUUAACCUGGGAAUUGCAUUCGAUACUGCGCGGCUAGAGUCUGAUAGAGGGAAGUGGAAUUCCUGGUGUAGCGGUGAAAUGCGUAGAUAUCAGGAGGAACACCGGUGGCGAAGGCGACUUCCUGGACCAAUACUGACGCUAAGGCGCGAAGGCGUGGGGAGCAAACAGGAUUAGAUACCCUGGUAGUCCACGCAGUAAACGGUGAACACUAGGUGUAGCGGGUAUUGACCCCUGCUGUGCCGUAGCUAACGCAUUAAGUGUUCCGCCUGGGGAGUACGAUCGCAAGAUUA